CGAUGGCGAAUUAAAGCUAGAUAAAUUAUUCUAAUUAGAGGAAGAUUAAAAUUAAAAAACUCUCCCUGAAGAAGAAUUUAUUCUGAGGAAGGCACUUCAAGUAAAGGAAGAUGCAAGCUGUAAAACUCGCUCAAAAUGCAGGAAGAUUAAAGCUGAAAAUUGUUCUCUUAUUGCAGAAGGAGUUAAGCUGAAGAACGCACUUCAAGUAAGAAUUAAAGUUGAAGAGCUCGCUCCAAACGCAGGAACAUUCGCUCUCAUUGGAGAAGAAUAAAAGUUGACGAACUCCCACUUCAAUGCGGAAGGAUUAAGGCUCGCUCUCUAUUGAUGCUAGGACAUGGUGUGACUUAUAUUUGGUAGGGCUCACAUUAACCACAUCUCAGGGAUAAGCAUUAUUCUGAUUCAAGCAAAAACGUUAGAUAUGAUUUGCAGUUUCUGGGUUUGUCCGGGAUAUGUAAGUAUGUAAAUGUAAAUAUGUAUGGAUUGCAUC
This is a long non-coding RNA of Drosophila montana, 487 nucleotides long. RefSeq lists it as uncharacterized. The transcript is spliced from 3 exons. The record is from RefSeq and is a predicted model, not a curated record. NCBI's taxonomy places the organism in Eukaryota, Metazoa, Arthropoda, Insecta, Diptera, Drosophilidae.